Molecule: ribosomal RNA, 253 nt
Filed under: uncultured bacterium
Lineage: Bacteria
Description: partial 16S ribosomal RNA
Rfam family: Bacterial small subunit ribosomal RNA
Source: RNAcentral
UACGUACGGGGCUAGCGUUGUCCGGAUUUAUUGGGCGUAAAGAGCGUGUAGGCGGCCAGGUAGGUCUGGUGUGAAAACUCGAGGCUUAACCUCGAGAUGUCAUCGGAAACCAUCUGGCUAGAGUCCGGAAGAGGAGAGUGGAAUUCCUGGUGUAGCGGUGAAAUGCGCAGAUAUCAGGAAGAACACCAAUGGCGAAAGCAGCUCUCUGGGACGGUACUGACGCUGAGACGCGAAAGCGUGGGGAGCGAACAGG